ACUCAAAUGAAUUGACGGGGGCCCGCACAAGCGGUGGAUCAUGUGGUUUAAUUCGAAGCAACGCGAAAAACCUUACCUGGGUUUGACAUCCUCGGACAGCUGUAGAGAUACAGUCUUCGUAGCAAUACGACCGAGAGACAGGUGCUGCAUGGCUGUCGUCAGCUCGUGGGGUGACCUGUUGGGUUAAGUCCCGCAACGAGCGCAACCCCUGUCCUUAGUUGCCAGCAUUAAGUUGGGCUCUCUAGGGAGACUGCCGUGGUGAACACGGAGGAAGGUGGGGAUGACGUCAAGUCCUCAUGGCCUUUAUAUCCAGGGCGACACACGUGAUACAAUGGACGGUACAGAGGGAAGCGAAACCGCGAGGUGGAGCCAAUCUCAAAAAGCCGUUCUCAGUUCGGAUUGGAGUCUGCAAUUCGACUCCAUGAAGUUGGAAUCGCUAGUAAUCGCGGAUCAGCACGCCGCGGUGAAUCCGUUCCCGGGCCUUGUACACACCGCCCGU
RNAcentral lists this ribosomal RNA (499 nucleotides) under uncultured bacterium. RNAcentral's name for it is "partial 16S ribosomal RNA". It matches the Rfam family "Bacterial small subunit ribosomal RNA", at positions 899 to 1397 of the family's 1533-position model. The record is from RNAcentral.